CUUCCAUCUACUGAAAUGGGAGAGGGGGUGGGGAGCUUCUGUUCUGGUGAAGGGACCCGGGCAGGCCCCCACGACCUGCCUGUCAUGCCCACCCCCUGAGGAAGCAUGGGGACCCUAACACCCUGGUGCCCUGCACCAGACAGGCCGUGGUCAGGCCCAGGCCACCGGCCGGGUUCUGCCACAGCUUCCCACGUGCUUGCUGACAUGCGUGUGCCUGUGUGUGGUGUCUGUUGCUGUGUCGUGAAACUGUGACCAUCACUCAGUCCAAACAAGUGAGUGGCCCUCGAGGCCACAGUUAUGCAACUUUCAGUGUGUGUCAUAACGACGUCACUGCUUUUUAAACUCGAUAACUCUUUAUUUUAGUAAAAUGCCCAGGAGUCCUGGAAGCUACGCGGACUUGCAGAGGUUUUAUUUUUUGGCCUUAGAAUCUGCAGAAAUUAGGAGGCACCGAGCCCAGCGCAGCAGCCUCGGACCCGGAUUGCGUUUGCCUUAGCGGAUAUGUUUAUACAGAUGAAUAUAAAAUGUUUUUUUCUUUGGGCUUUUUGCUUCUUUUUUCCCCCCCUUCUCACCUUCCCUUCUCCCCGACCCCACCCCCCAAAAAAGCUACUUCUUCAUUCCGUGGUACGAUUAUUUUUUUUAACUAAAGGAAGAUAAAAUU
RNAcentral lists this long non-coding RNA (658 nucleotides) under Homo sapiens (human). RNAcentral describes it as "HSALNT0002094". The record is from RNAcentral. Lineage: Eukaryota; Metazoa; Chordata; Mammalia; Primates; Hominidae.